GAUUGGAUGGAUCUAUGGUUCUGUUACUGAAGAUAUCUUGACUGGGUUUAAGAUGCAUGCUCGUGGUUGGAUUUCCAUCUAUUGCAUGCCACCUCGCCCAGCAUUUAAGGGUUCUGCUCCCAUCAAUCUUUCUGACCGUCUCAAUCAGGUGCUUCGGUGGGCCUUGGGUUCAAUUGAGAUCUUCCUGAGCAGGCAUUGUCCCCUGUGGUAUGGCUACAAGGGGAAGUUGAGGUCUCUGCAGAGACUUGCUUAUAUUAACACCAUUGUCUACCCCCUUACCUCAAUCCCAUUGAUUGCUUACUGUGUGCUUCCUGCAUUUUGUCUCAUCACAAAUAAAUUUAUUAUUCCUGAGGUAAGUAGAUUCUUCUAUCUCAUUUUUCUGAUAAACUUAUAAUUCAUAACGUGUUCUAAUUGUUGAUAUAGAAUUCUAUAUCUUGGAAUCCUGAUGCCAUUAACAUUUGGUUAAUUUUGCAACUAUUUACUUUCAAUUAAAUUAAUAACUGAGAAGCAGAAUUUGGAAGGUUUGGUAAUUAUAUGUUUGAAUUUCAUUCUUUUCACCUUAGGUGUCAAUUGAUUUUUUUCUGGACAGGGUGGAUGAUGCUCGACAGCCUUUGAGUCGUGUGGUGCCUCUUCCUUCAUCCCAGAUCACCCCUUACCGUGUUGUUAUCAUACUCCGGCUGAUUAUUCUUUGCUUCUUCUUACAAUACCGUGUAACUCACCCUGUGAAAGAUGCAUACCCACUGUGGUUGACAUCAGUUAUUUGUGAGAUUUGGUUUGCCUUAUCCUGGCUCUUGGAUCAGUUUCCAAAAUGGUAUCCCGUUAAUCGCGAGACUUAUCUUGACAGGCUUGCUUUAAGGUCUGGAUUGCUCAUUUUAUCCAUGUUUUGCUGGGCUUUGCAUCUUGGUUUUACUAUGUUGUGGCAUUUCUCUUUCACUAAUCUUAGUUUGUCUUGUUUAGAUAUGAUCGUGAAGGAGAACCAUCACAGUUGGCUCCUGUUGAUGUUUUUGUUAGUACAGUGGAUCCUCUCAAAGAGCCUCCUCUUGUAACUGCAAACACAGUUUUGUCUAUACUUUCUGUUGAUUACCCUGUCGACAAGGUGUCCUGCUAUGUGUCAGAUGAUGGUUCAGCUAUGUUGACCUUUGAAUCCCUGUCAGAAACAGCUGAGUUUGCAAAGAAGUGGGUGCCCUUUUGCAAGAAGCACAAUAUUGAGCCAAGAGCACCUGAGUUUUAUUUUGCCCAGAAGAUUGAUUACUUGAAGGACAAGAUUCAACCUUCUUUUGUGAAGGAACGACGGACAAUGAAGGUUGUCCUUGAAGCAUUUAAUCUUCAUUUCUAAUUUAAAACUUAUAUGGUUAUGUAAAUAUAAAAAACUAAGCAUAGACAAUUUUGCUCAAUAGAGAGAAUAUGAAGAAUUCAAAGUACGGAUCAAUGCCCUUGUAGCCAAAGCACAGAAGAUGCCAGAAGAAGGAUGGACAAUGCAGGAUGGAACUGCUUGGCCAGGAAAUAAUCCUCGGGAUCAUCCUGGAAUGAUUCAGGUGUUACCAUUUUCUCCAGAUAGCACAUAUAAUCUAUGCCCUUUGCUAUACUUGAAGUCAUUGUAAUACUUUGUUGUAUGCAGGUGUUUUUAGGCCAUAGUGGAGGGCUUGAUACAGAUGGAAAUGAGCUACCUAGACUUGUUUACGUUUCUCGUGAGAAGCGACCGGGCUUCCAACAUCACAAGAAGGCCGGAGCUAUGAAUGCCUUGGUUUGUCCUGAUGAAGCUUCUCAUUUUAUUUAUUUGUAGUUUUACAUGGUGUAUACUUUUUUAUAGUGCAUUGCUUUGCCCUUAUUGAAUUUAUGGCCUUCAUAUAGUGGUAGGUUUUGUUUAUCUGCUUGUGUCAAAAUAUUAUAUGUAUAUAUAUAUAUAUAAAUGGAAAAUAGCGUACAAAUUGAUACCAUGAUUCAGCUCUGCCCAACUAUGAGUAACAUUUUCUAAAACAGGUUGAGGAUGUAUGUCAAUCACUUUGCUAGUUCUGCUUCUGCAUGCAGAUUUUGUUUUCGUGUUUCUAUGUGAAAUUGUUGCUUUUCCUUCCUGCAAACCAAUGAGGCACUUACUGUUGCAUAUGAUGGUUGUACAUGUGUUUUUAACCUGAAAGUUAUGUUCUGAGCAUAUCUAACAGUGGUUUUCCUUCUGUGAUGUAGAUUCGAGUAUCUGCUGUCUUGACCAAUGGUGCUUAUCUUUUGAACGUCGAUUGUGAUCACUAUUUCAAUAAUAGCAAAGCUGUUAAAGAAGCCAUGUGUUUCAUGAUGGAUCCUGCUUUUGGAAAGAAGACAUGCUACGUACAAUUCCCUCAGAGGUUCGAUGGCAUUGACUUGCACGAUCGAUAUGCCAAUCGCAAUAUUGUGUUCUUCGAUGUAGGUGUCACUUUAUUUUUCAUUUGGUUGCAACAGAGAAAUUCCUUCCUUUUAGUCUUCACUGCUUUGGCUAAAUUUCAUUUCGUUUUUGUACCUGUCAGAUCAACUUGAAAGGUCUUGAUGGUAUUCAGGGCCCAGUCUAUGUGGGAACUGGUUGCUGUUUCAAUAGGCAGGCUUUGUAUGGUUAUGAUCCUGUUUUGACUGAGGAAGAUUUGGAGCCUAACAUUAUUGUUAAGAGUUGUUGUGGUUCUAGAAAGAAGGGAAGGGGUGGCAAGAAGUACAAUGACAAGAAGAGGGGAGUUAAAAGAACUGAAUCAACCAUUCCAAUCUUUAAUAUGGAAGACAUAGAGGAGGGUGUUGAAGGUAUGGUAUCAUGAUAAUCUUUAUCUUAACUCCUAUUUACAGUGGCUAUGCAUGUAGAAUUUCAUAAGUUGAAUUUGUUGCAAUUCCAUUUUACUCCCUAUCUCACUGAUCAAAUUCAUUAGUAAUUUACCCUAGUUUGCCAUAGUUUUUAUGCCAGAUACCUUUACAUAAUUGUCUGAAAGUUGAGACGAUGAUGUCAUAUCAUUAUGAUAUUUAAUGCCUUUCUUGUACAGGGUAUGAUGAAGAAAGGUCACUUCUUAUGUCUCAAAAGCGUUUAGAGAAGCGUUUCGGUCAGUCUCCAGUUUUUAUUGCUGCUACCUUUAUGGAACAGGGUGGCAUUCCACCUUCAACCAAUCCUGCAACUCUUCUUAAGGAAGCAAUCCAUGUUAUCAGCUGUGGCUAUGAAGACAAGACAGAAUGGGGAAAAGAGGUUAGCAUGUCUACUUAUCAUCGUGCUUUUGAUUCUGAGAUUAACGAGUAGAUUGUUUUAGUUUAUUGAUUACACAUUUUCUGACUUCACCAGAUUGGAUGGAUCUAUGGUUCUGUUACUGAAGAUAUCUUGACUGGGUUUAAGAUGCAUGCUCGUGGUUGGAUUUCCAUCUAUUGCAUGCCACCUCGCCCAGCAUUUAAGGGUUCUGCUCCCAUCAAUCUUUCUGACCGUCUCAAUCAGGUGCUUCGGUGGGCCUUGGGUUCAAUUGAGAUAUUCCUGAGCAGACAUUGCCCCUUGUGGUAUGGCUACCAUGGGAAGUUGAGAUCUCUGCAGAGACUUGCUUAUAUUAACACCAUUAUCUACCCCCUUACCUCAAUCCCAUUGAUUGCUUACUGUAUUCUUCCUGCAUUUUGUCUUGUCACAAAUAAGUUCAUUAUUCCCGAGGCAAGUAUUUUUCCUCUAUCUCAUUUUUCUGAUAAGCUUUUAUCAUUUAUGUUGUGUUCCAGCUGAUAACAUUAACAUUUGGUUAAUUUUAUGC
Molecule: long non-coding RNA, 3725 nt
Filed under: Lupinus angustifolius (narrow-leaved blue lupine)
Lineage: Eukaryota; Viridiplantae; Streptophyta; Magnoliopsida; Fabales; Fabaceae
Description: long non-coding RNA (LANG_LNC000509)
Source: RNAcentral